GUGGCUUAGUGGUAUAGUACAUGCCUAGCAUGCAUGAAGCCCUGGGUUCGAUUCCCUGGAACCACA
Molecule: transfer RNA, 66 nt
Filed under: Dipodomys ordii (Ord's kangaroo rat)
Lineage: Eukaryota; Metazoa; Chordata; Mammalia; Rodentia; Heteromyidae
Rfam family: tRNA
About the family: Transfer RNA (tRNA) molecules are approximately 80 nucleotides in length. Their secondary structure includes four short double-helical elements and three loops (D, anti-codon, and T loops).
Source: Rfam by way of RNAcentral